This 489-nucleotide ribosomal RNA is filed under the name uncultured bacterium. RNAcentral's name for it is "bacterial SSU rRNA". It matches the Rfam family "Bacterial small subunit ribosomal RNA", at positions 224 to 704 of the family's 1533-position model. The record is from RNAcentral. RNAcentral also lists the same sequence under 1 other name.
GAGGGGCUCGCGGCCUAUCAGCUAGUUGGUGAGGUAACGGCUCACCAAGGCGAUGACGGGUAGCUGGUCUGAGAGGACGACCAGCCACACGGGGACUGAGACACGGCCCCGACUCCUACGGGAGGCAGCAGUGGGGAAUUUUCCGCAAUGGGCGAAAGCCUGACGGAGUGACGCCGCGUGGGGGACGAAGGCCUUCGAGUCGUAAACCCCUGUCAGAGGGAAAGAAGGGUGUCGGCGCGAUAACCGCCGGCACUUGACGGUACCUUCAGAGGAAGCCCCGGCCAACUCUGUGCCAGCAGCCGCGGUAAGACAGAGGGGGCAAGCGUUGCUCGGAAUUACUGGGCGUAAAGGGCGUGUAGGCGGGAUGGCAAGUCGGUCGUGAAAGCCUUCGGCUCAACCGAAGAAGUGCGUCCGAUACUGCCGUCCUUGAGGGUUGGAGAGGAGACUGGAAUUCCCGGUGUAGCGGUGAAAUGUGUAGAGAUCGGGAGG